UAUCAACGGCAUCACGAGGAUCCUACUGUCUCCCCCCUCUAAUCAGUGAAACUGAUCUCCCCGUGAAGAAGCGGGGAUAUACAUAUAAGACGAGAAGACCCCAUGGAGCUUUAAACCUGACAGCACCCGCUCAUUCUAUACCCCAUUAUUUGCCCGACCCCUGUCUGCUCAGUUUUAGGUUGGGGUGACCACGGAGUAUAAAAUAACCUCCAUGAAGAAGGGGAUAUUUCCCUUAUUAGAGAACCACACUUCCAAGAACUAAUAAAUUAAUUUUCAAUGACCCGAUACCAGAUAAUCGAUCAACGAACCAAGUUACCCUGGGGAUAACAGCGCAAUCCACCCUGAAAGCCCUUAUUAACAGGUGGGUUUACGACCUCGAUGUUGGAUCAGGGUAUCCCAGUGGUGCAGCAGCUACUGAGGGUUCGUUUGUUCAACGAUUAA
RNAcentral lists this ribosomal RNA (441 nucleotides) under Boophis quasiboehmei. RNAcentral describes it as "partial 16S ribosomal RNA". It matches the Rfam family "Bacterial large subunit ribosomal RNA", at positions 1991 to 2591 of the family's 2925-position model. Lineage: Eukaryota; Metazoa; Chordata; Amphibia; Anura; Mantellidae. The record is from RNAcentral.